ACGGCUCCUAGAGGCACUGCAGGUGCAGCUGAGGCGUCAUGUGUGCAGCAGUAGGUGGCAGAGAGGAGAGAGGCCAUGUCUACACUCAGUGUUCUGACCUAUGAGUGUCUGAACGAUUAGCAACCUAACAUU
Molecule: small nucleolar RNA, 132 nt
Organism: Meriones unguiculatus (Mongolian gerbil)
Lineage: Eukaryota; Metazoa; Chordata; Mammalia; Rodentia; Muridae
Source: Ensembl